UCUUGAACUACAAUGGUAGAAGUCGUGUGUUUAUUUAUGCAGAGAAGGUGGAAGAAUACAUUAAAGCUGCGAUUUUUAUCUCAAAAAAUCCAAGAGUACAGAGAAGGUGAAAGAACACAUUAGAGCUGCGAUUUUUAUCUCAAAAAAUCCAAGAGUACAAGUUCGUAAACACAAAAGACUACAGUAACAGCGGCGGUGCUGAAGGUCAGGACGGUGUUGAAUAAUGAAGGUGUCAUUUUGAACUAUUUUCCCCCUUUUUUGGGGCUGUUAUUUGUCUCUAUUUGCAAGGUUUUAAUUUUGUUGUUAUACAUGUUUUCCUUUUAAUAAUAUUUAUUUUUUGUUACUGAUUUUUCAACUGUGUUUUUGGUUCCUUUUUAUUUUCUCGGGCUAUCAACGAAGAAGCAUUCAUCAGGCAAGUUGUUUUUAUUUGGAAGGUUUUAAUUUUGUUUGUUGUUAUGCAUGUUUUUUUUAAUAAUAGUUAUUUUUUCUUACUGAUUUUAUAACUCUGUUUUUGGUUUUUUUUUCUCGGGCUAUCGAUGAAAAAGCAUCAUGCAGGCAACUUUUUUUCCCUUUUGUUGUUAUGCAUGUUUGUUUUGGUACUAUUUGUCUCUAUUUGUAAUGUUUUAAUUUUGUUUGUUGUUAUGCAUGUUUCCUUCUUAAUAAUAAUUACUUUUUCUUACUGAUUUUUACAACUCUGUUU
Long non-coding RNA from Glycine soja, 700 nucleotides. RefSeq lists it as uncharacterized. The record is from RefSeq and is a predicted model, not a curated record. Lineage: Eukaryota; Viridiplantae; Streptophyta; Magnoliopsida; Fabales; Fabaceae. The transcript is spliced from 3 exons.